GAUGAAGAACGUAGCGAAAUGCGAUAAGUAGUGUGAAUUGCAGAAUUCAGUGAAUCAUCGAAUCUUUGAACGCACAUUUCGCCCCUUGGUAUUCCAUGGGGCAUGCCUGUUCGAGCGUCAUUUGUACCUUCAAGCUUUGCUUGGUGUUGGGUGUUUGUCUCGCCUCCGCGUGUAGACUCGCCUCAAAACAAUUGGCAGCCGGCGUAUUGAUUUCGGAGCGCAGUACAUCUCGCGCUUUGCACUCACAACGACGACGUCCAAAAGUACAUUUUUACACUCUUGACCUCGGAUCAGGUAGGGAUACCCGCUGAACUUAAGCAUAUCAAUAAGCGGAGGA
This 337-nucleotide unclassified non-coding RNA is filed under the name soil metagenome. RNAcentral describes it as "partial contains 5.8S ribosomal RNA, internal transcribed spacer 2, and large subunit ribosomal RNA". The stretch from base 1 to 120 matches the Rfam family "5.8S ribosomal RNA", at positions 35 to 154 of the family's 154-position model. The record is from RNAcentral.